This is a long non-coding RNA of Lathyrus oleraceus (garden pea), 636 nucleotides long. RefSeq lists it as uncharacterized. The record is from RefSeq and is a predicted model, not a curated record. The transcript has 3 exons. Lineage: Eukaryota; Viridiplantae; Streptophyta; Magnoliopsida; Fabales; Fabaceae.
GUCUCUUUCAAUCCCUCUUCUCUCGUGUCUUUCUCAGAAUCGCUCUCUCUCAGAAAACCCAAUCGCUCACUCACAAAACCGUUCUCUCAACCUCACGACCCUUUCUCAAACGCUCACAAACUCAAGUCUCUCUCAUCAACGCCCUCUCUCAAACGCUCACAAACUCACGAACCACGGCGAGCUAAGACCAAAAGUAUAAAGGAGAAAAAAACAAACGAAGACUUACUUCCGGCGACGGCAGUGACUCAGGGUUUCGGUUUGAUGCUCAAUGGUCCAAUGGAGGAAGUUUCAGGAUUGCUUUUUGAUGCUCAGAGAUGAUUGCCCUGUUUGAUCAUUGGACCCGGAAAGUGAAAGAUUGAACAUCGAUUUCGGUUUUCUCACAGCCUUGUUGGUGUACUCGGUUUUGGAUGGCUCGAGUCCAGUUUUUUCGUUAAGUGACCCAAAGCAAAAUUAACACUUGUAUGAGGAUCCCUUUCCAAGAUGGGACUCGCAGAGGAAUGAGAAUAAGCUUCACUCCUGGAUAUUUGUUUGCUGGCAGAGACAUCUGAUGGACUCACACAUCCCAAAUUCGAUUCAUGUGGCUCUGUAGCAUGUGAGGCAAACCGCUGCACCUCUCGUUUUGCUGUUUGAAUCUCU